Molecule: ribosomal RNA, 803 nt
Filed under: Streptomyces sp.
Lineage: Bacteria; Bacillati; Actinomycetota; Actinomycetes; Kitasatosporales; Streptomycetaceae
Description: bacterial SSU rRNA
Rfam family: Bacterial small subunit ribosomal RNA
Source: RNAcentral
CGAUGAACCGGCUUCGGCCGGGGAUUAGUGGCGAACGGGUGAGUAACACGUGGGCAAUCUGCCCUGCACUCUGGGACAAGCCCUGGAAACGGGGUCUAAUACCGGAUAUGAGCUUCCACCGCAUGGUGGGGGCUGUAAAGCUCCGGCGGUGCAGGAUGAGCCCGCGGCCUAUCAGCUUGUUGGUGAGGUAACGGCUCACCAAGGCGACGACGGGUAGCCGGCCUGAGAGGGCGACCGGCCACACUGGGACUGAGACACGGCCCAGACUCCUACGGGAGGCAGCAGUGGGGAAUAUUGCACAAUGGGCGCAAGCCUGAUGCAGCGACGCCGCGUGAGGGAUGACGGCCUUCGGGUUGUAAACCUCUUUCAGCAGGGAAGAAGCGAAAGUGACGGUACCUGCAGAAGAAGCGCCGGCUAACUACGUGCCAGCAGCCGCGGUAAUACGUAGGGCGCGAGCGUUGUCCGGAAUUAUUGGGCGUAAAGAGCUCGUAGGCGGCUUGUCGCGUCGGUUGUGAAAGCCCGGGGCUUAACCCCGGGUCUGCAGUCGAUACGGGCAGGCUAGAGUUCGGUAGGGGAGAUCGGAAUUCCUGGUGUAGCGGUGAAAUGCGCAGAUAUCAGGAGGAACACCGGUGGCGAAGGCGGAUCUCUGGGCCGAUACUGACGCUGAGGAGCGAAAGCGUGGGGAGCGAACAGGAUUAGAUACCCUGGUAGUCCACGCCGUAAACGGUGGGCACUAGGUGUGGGCAACAUUCCACGUUGUCCGUGCCGCAGCUAACGCAUUAAGUGCCCCGCCUGGGGAGUAC